GGCCAGACUCCUACGGGAGGCAGCAGUGGGGAAUAUUGCACAAUGGGGGAAACCCCGAUGCAGCGACGCCGCGUGAGUGAAGAAGUAUUUCGGUAUGUAAAGCUCUAUCAGCAGGGAAGAAAAUGACGGUACCUGACUAAGAAGCCCCGGCUAACUACGUGCCAGCAGCCGCGGUAAUACGUAGGGGGCAAGCGUUAUCCGGAUUUACUGGGUGUAAAGGGAGCGUAGACGGCAUGGCAAGUCAGAUGUGAAAGCCCGGGGCUCAACCCCGGGACUGCAUUUGAAACUGUCAGGCUGGAGUGCAGGAGAGGUAAGUGGAAUUCCUAGUGUAGCGGUGAAAUGCGUAGAUAUUAGGAGGAACACCAGUGGCGAAGGCGGCUUACUGGACUGUAACUGACGUUGAGGCUCGAAAGCGUGGGGAGCAAACAGGAUUAGAUACCCCCGUACU
RNAcentral lists this ribosomal RNA (448 nucleotides) under uncultured bacterium. RNAcentral describes it as "bacterial SSU rRNA". It matches the Rfam family "Bacterial small subunit ribosomal RNA", at positions 329 to 794 of the family's 1533-position model. The record is from RNAcentral.